This 28-nucleotide non-coding RNA is filed under the name Mus musculus (house mouse). Lineage: Eukaryota; Metazoa; Chordata; Mammalia; Rodentia; Muridae. The record is from RNAcentral.
UUCAAUAAAUUAUGGGAGUUCUGUUGUC